CACACACACACCAGGGCAGCACAUGGGGGAGGAGAGGAAAAGGUGUUAGGGGAGAGGAUUGCAACAUAUGGGGAGGAAUGUGUUAGAAGGGGUUGCAACACAUGAGAAGGGAGGAGAGAUGUUAGAGGAGAGGAUUGUAACACAUGGGUGGGAGAGGAGAGGGGUUAGAGGAGAGGAUCAUAACACAUGGGUGGGAGAGGAGAGGGGUUAGAGGAGAGGAUCAUAACACAUGGGUGGGAGAGGAGAGGGGUUAGAGAAGAGGAUCGUAACACAUGGGUGGGAGAGGAGAGGUGUUAGAGGAGAAGAUCGUAACACAUGGGAAGAAGAGGUGUUUGAGGAGAGAAUCGUAACACAUGGGGAGAAGAGGUGUUCGAGGAGAGGAUCGUAACACAUGGGGAGAAGAGGUGUUCGAGGAGAGAAUCGUAACACAUGGGGAGAAGAGGUGUUUGAGGAGAGAAUCGUAACACAUGGGGAGGAGAGGUGUUUGAGGAGAGGAUCGUAACACAUGGGGAGUAGAGGAGAGGUGUUAGAGAAAAGAAAGGGAUUUGAGGAGAGAAUCGCAACACAGGAAGAAGAGAAAAGAAAGAUGUUCGAGGAAAGGAUCGCAACAAAUGGGAAAGAAACACACCACAGGAAGGAGGAAAAGAAAAGAAGAGGUGUCUGUAGACCUCACUAGGGGACACAAACACACUGGAUAAGGAAGGGAAUGUCACUAAAUAUGAGGGAUAAUAUGACGACUUAAAAUGGUCCAUAGUUUCAUAGCCUCAACAUACCGUACAUACAAAGAACUGGGCAACAAACCACAACUAACCUAACCUAACCAUGAUAUAUAUGGAGAGGAGACAGAAUGGUGCUGAAAGAGUUAAUACAGCUGUUCAUACACCUCAUUUGACAUCACACACACACAAGGGCAAGGCAAUGGAUGGGAAGAAGAUGAGAGGCGUCAGAAUGUAAGGAGUAGAAACAUGUAAAACAGUCCCCUGCAUACUGACUACAAGGGCAAGGCAAUGGAUGGGAAGAAGAUGAGAGGUACCAGAAUGUAAGGAGUAGGAACAUGUAAAACAGUCCCCUGCAUACUGACUACAAGGGCAAGGCAAUGGAUGGGAAGAAGAUGAGAGGCACCAGAAUGUAAGGAGUAGGAACAUGUAAAACAGUCCCCUGCAUACUGACUACAAGGGCAAGGCAAUGGAUGGGGAAGAUGAGAGGCACCAGAAUGUAAGAGUAGAAAC
This is a long non-coding RNA of Eriocheir sinensis (Chinese mitten crab), 1229 nucleotides long. RefSeq lists it as uncharacterized. The transcript has 3 exons. The record is from RefSeq and is a predicted model, not a curated record. Lineage: Eukaryota; Metazoa; Arthropoda; Malacostraca; Decapoda; Varunidae.